Sesamum indicum (sesame) is the source of this 736-nucleotide non-coding RNA. NCBI's taxonomy places the organism in Eukaryota, Viridiplantae, Streptophyta, Magnoliopsida, Lamiales, Pedaliaceae. The record is from RefSeq and is a predicted model, not a curated record.
GGAGAAACAUUCGGAGAAGGAACAUGAAAGACUAGGGUAUUCAGUCAACCGUUCUCAGUUGCUCCAUGGCAGCCAUCCCCAAAAGAGGCAUCAUCUCUCUGUUACUAGAGAUGGUGAAUGUGGUAAUGAUUUCAGGAGAUUUAUUGGUGCUGAGCCAAUUUGUCAUGCAGAAUACACUAUACAACCUGAAGCAGGACCAGCUGAUGCAGAUGCAAGAAUGCCAGAGCGAGGGCGUCUUAAGCUACGUGUCGGGAAUCUGAAUUCCAAGUCACAACUACUUGGUAUUGAUCAAUUAGCUCACCUGCUGUCAUCAUCAGGCAAUUGCAGAAUACACUAUACAACCUGAAACAACACCAGCUCAUGCAGGUGUUUUCAUAUCCAAAUAGAUGCAAGAAUGCCAGAGCAAGGGCGUCUUAAGCUAUGUGUCAGGAAUUUGAAUUCCAAGUCACAGCUACUUGGUAUUGAUCAAUUAGCUCACCUGCUGUCAUCAUCAGGCAAUUGCAGAAUACACCAUAGAACCUGAAACAACACCAGCUGAUGCAGAUGCAAGAAUGCUAGAGCAAGGGCGUCUUAAGCUACGUGUCAGGAAUCUGAAUUCCAAGUCACUACUACUUGGCUCUCCAUCAAGUUCCAAUUCUACAAGUGUUAAUUCCAGCUUCUGAAUCCAAGAACUUAUGCUGGUGCAUGAUGCGACAUGAGCUGCCAAUGUUUUCUCAAGCAUGGUGGUAAGUAACAA